This 225-nucleotide unclassified non-coding RNA is filed under the name soil metagenome. Its description in RNAcentral is "partial contains small subunit ribosomal RNA and internal transcribed spacer 1". The record is from RNAcentral.
UUUCCGUAGGUGAACCUGCGGAAGGAUCAUUACUGUGAGCGCGCAAGCGCAGAAGCGGGGCGUCGCAAGACGCUCUGUUGGCCAGUGUUUUGUGAGCGGGGGGAAGUAGUGGCGGGAGUAUGCGUGUGAAUGCACACAUGCCCGCCAGUGUUUAACCACAAGUCAAUGAAGUAACGAGUGUGUAUUAACCAAAUACAACUGUUGGCAACGGAUCACUCGGCUCUC